GCCGCUAUGGUGGAAUUGGUAGACACGUUGCUCUUAGGAAGCAAUGCUAGCGCAUCUCGGUUCAAAUCCGAGUAGCGG
RNAcentral lists this transfer RNA (78 nucleotides) under Calypogeia fissa. Its description in RNAcentral is "tRNA-Leu". It matches the Rfam family "tRNA". Rfam says of the family: Transfer RNA (tRNA) molecules are approximately 80 nucleotides in length. Their secondary structure includes four short double-helical elements and three loops (D, anti-codon, and T loops). Lineage: Eukaryota; Viridiplantae; Streptophyta; Jungermanniopsida; Jungermanniales; Calypogeiaceae. RNAcentral also lists the same sequence under 1 other name. The record is from RNAcentral.